This is a long non-coding RNA of Marmota monax (woodchuck), 3035 nucleotides long. RefSeq lists it as uncharacterized. NCBI's taxonomy places the organism in Eukaryota, Metazoa, Chordata, Mammalia, Rodentia, Sciuridae. The record is from RefSeq and is a predicted model, not a curated record. The transcript is spliced from 5 exons.
UCCAGUUCUGCCCACUCCUCUGCCAGGCUGAGCCACGGACUGGUCGGUUUUCUCGUGGGCCAGGUGCUGCAUCCCAGGACAGGCAGGAGGGCUGGGCCACCUGCCCAGACCAAGCAGGGACAGGAAGCUGCGGGUGGCUGGGGUGGCUUCCUGCCCCUGCUGCAGAAUCGCGCCCCUCAGGACCGUGCAGGGCUGCAGCUGCCCUACUGUUCCUGCGUUCCCAGGCUGAGGCCCAGCUUCUACCUGGAAACCCCGGCCGGGCCCACGUGGGCACGGGGCAGAGGGCCUUGUGAGGAGGCUGCGUGCAAAGGGGCCGUGAGGACAGGGCCUUAGCUGUUCUGAUCACUGUAACAAGGCUCCACAGGCAGAGGCUCGAAGAUCUGAAACCACGGUCCCCGUCCUAGAGGCCAGAGGCUGAAGAUGGAGGCAUCUGGUGAGGUGGCUGCGUCCCUGCCGCGUCCUCACUGUUGGAGAAAUCCCUCAUCAGCACCUGCAACUUUCAGAAGGGCCCCGAGUCCCCAGAGCCCCUCCCUUGAGACCUCCUCCCCUGCUGAGUUCUAACACAUCACCUCAAGUUUGAGUGCUGGUCGAAGGACUCCACAUGUUGUGUUUACAAGUCAACAGCGUCCGUCUGCCUGGCACCACCAUAACACACAAGCUGGAUUGGGUUCCCUGGUGUGCCUGCUCCCCUCUUCCAGGGUCAUUGAGCAUCCCCAGGCCCCGAUGAGGAUUCCAUCGUGAGACCAGGCCUUCCAUUUUGCUGAACACCCUCUCUGCACCCACCACCAGACAUUCCAGAAAAGCAGCUUGGGCCCUGUACUUCAAGUCCCACCACAGACAUCAGAGUUUCAAUAUCUGACUCAAUCAUAUGACUUGACCUUCCACAAUGUCCAUAUGACCUUGUCUAACAGUCUCCUGCCCGAGGAGCACAGGUUUCCCUGGUGGAAGAUCCAGUCUCCUCUCCACACCUGCUCACCUUUAAACCCUGCCUCUCUCCUCUCGUGGCUCAGGAUGCUCCCCCUCUCCUCCUGUCACCAUUCAUGCACUGAGACUCUGAGGAGCUCCCUCUGCACCCGUCCCACACACAGGAGGGCCCUGCUCCAGGCCACAUGCACAGGGUCCACAGAUGGCCUCUCCUUCCUUCAGGGGGAGUCGUCAGGCAGCGUGUGCCACAGUCUCUCUCACCUCCACUGUGGAAGCUGCUCCCCUCCCCAGUAACUCAUCCAACCAGCAGGCUGAACUGGUGCCCUCGAAAGAGCCUUCACUGUGGCAACGGGGGCCUCCUCUAUGUCUACGCUGGCUCCAAACACGCCUUCCACACAUUCCUCUCCCUCUCUGCUAUUUGGACAGAGCGUGGAUUCCCUACCACCAAGGGGUCUUCAGUUAUAAUGCCCCUCUACCUCCCACCUCCUUCAGGGCUCAAAGUUUCCCUCUGCCACUGGAAUCAUGGGUGUGCCCAUGUCCCUGUGUGUGUGUCUGGGUGUGCCCAUGUCCCUGUGUGUGUGUCUGGGUGUGCCCAUGUCCCUGUGUGUGUGUCUGGGUGUGCCCAUGUCCCUGUGUGUGUGUCUAGGUGUGCCCAUGUCCCUGUGUGUAUCUGUAUGUGCCCAUGUCCUGUGUGUGUGUGCCCAUGUCCCUGUGUGUGUGUCUGGUUGUGCCCAUGUCCCUGUGUGUGUGUCUAGGUGUGCCCAUGUCCCUGUGUGUGUGCCCAUGUCCCUGUGUGUGUGUGCCCAUGUCCCUGUGUGUGUGUGUGGGUAUGCCCAUGUCCCUGUCUGGGUGUGCCCAUGUCCCUGUGUGUGUGUGUGUGGGGGUAUGCCCAUGUCCCUGUGUGUGUCUGGGUGUGCCCAUGUCCCUGUGUGCAUGUCUGGGUGUGCCCAUGUCCACAUACACAGGACGCUGACCCCUGGGUGGGCCUCACUGUCCCCCUUUGUGGGUGCAGUGCCUGGACCCUGUGAGGGGCAGAGCCAGCCCAGUCAUCCAUAGCCCCUUGAAACCUGAGGGCCACAGGCUUGAUACAUCAUGUGCUCCCAGCCACAAGGGGCCUAGGGGGCUCUGGGGGCUGGGGUCACCCCACCCCAGUGCAGCAGGCUGAGGCGGCCAAGGAACCUGACUUGGCAGAGGCGCGAGGGGCAGAGAGGCACAGGAUCUGGUUGCUGCACACAGCAGAUGGCUGACUGGUACCGCAAUCUGGCUGGGCACAAAUAAUUGGGAGGUCACGAGCCACUUGUAGGUUCAAACAGGAACUACUUUAUUGCCCGACCUCCACGGGAACUCAACGGGAACUCCGCUGGAACUCAACGGGAACUCCGCGAGAACUUAAAAGUGGCGGGCACCCAAGGUAGCAGGAGCCACCUUAUUGCCGGACAGCAGAGGUUUAUAUACACAACUGAAUACACAGCUUGUUUCAAUUUAGCAUCAUCCAGUUACAGCAAUCAGUCAUUAUCUUAAUAAUUAUACACAGCUUAACUGAAUUAUCAUCAUCUUAAUGGCUCACUGGCGUUACUUCUCCACCACUCCUUCUGGCAAAAUGCCAGGUGCCAUCUUGACUUGGCUGUGGCUCUCAACAUCUCCCCCUUCUGUUUAAUUAAACAACAAGUAUGUGGCUUAGGGACCGUGCCUGUUUUAGGUUGUCCAAUACUACAUAUGGUCCUUACCCGUCAUCGGAUGAGCUGACCUCAAGGCGUUAGCCUCCUGUCUUAGGUUGGUACCAUUGCAAUUAGAUCUUACCCGUCUUUAACUACCGGCCCAACACACUCAGCCAUACUUGUGGAUAAUGACCAUCACAAGCCGAAGGGAGGAGGAUACAAAAUGCCAUGAUACCAAGCCAAAUGACGGCUCCUUUUGGAAAAAUUGUACCACCGAUGACACCAUCAGCAAAGAUACCCCGGCACUACCACAAGUCGCUGCACCAACAGAUAGUUCACAAUGCAUACAAGUGAUACAUAGUCUAGGCAAGUUCUGCAAGCAGUUCAAAGCAGAGGAAUCUAUCAAUAUGUCCAUUUCCUCCCAAAGUAAAUCGACUCCUUGAUUGAGCACUA